UAUAUACUCCCUCCAUCUCAUAUUAAGUGUCUCAAAUUUGUCCAAAUAUGGAUGUAUCUAUACAUAAAAAAAAUGUCUAGAUACAUGUAAUAUUUCGACACUUAAUAUGGGACGGAGGGAGUAGUAU
Non-coding RNA from Brachypodium distachyon (stiff brome), 127 nucleotides. The record is from Rfam. Lineage: Eukaryota; Viridiplantae; Streptophyta; Magnoliopsida; Poales; Poaceae.